This 353-nucleotide long non-coding RNA is filed under the name Homo sapiens (human). Its description in RNAcentral is "non-protein coding lnc-DDIT4L-1:1". Lineage: Eukaryota; Metazoa; Chordata; Mammalia; Primates; Hominidae. The record is from RNAcentral.
CAGCAGAUGGCAAGUACACAUGCAUGGGGGGAGGGAGUGGGUGAAUGCACUCGAGUUGCAUCUACAAGGCAAAGUGAAUGAGAGAACUGGACACCCCAUCCAUUUGGUCUCUGUAAAGAGCAAAACCAGAUUAUUUGCUUAAUUUUGUAUAUGUGCAGAGGUGCAGAGUAUCUUUGUAAAAACAGAUUUAUGCGAGAAAUAAAAUCUGCGAAAUGGCCCAGGAUAUUCCAGUCAUCAUAUCCAAUUGAAGACAUAUGAAGAAGGAAAGAGACAGAGAGACAGAGAAAAUGGGCAGCCCUACUUUAUAAACCGGUAAGUUUUCAAAAUCUUUUCAGAAAUCAGAAUGUUUCUCG